GAUGAACGCUGGCGGCGUGCCUAAUACAUGCAAGUCGAGCGAACAGAUAAGGAGCUUGCUCCUUUGACGUUAGCGGCGGACGGGUGAGUAACACGUGGAUAACCUACCUAUAAGACUGGGAUAACUUCGGGAAACCGGAGCUAAUACCGGAUAACAUAUUGAACCGCAUGGUUCAAUAGUGAAAGGCGGCUUUGCUGUCACUUAUAGAUGGAUCCGCGCCGUAUUAGCUAGUUGGUAAGGUAACGGCUUACCAAGGCAACGAUACGUAGCCGACCUGAGAGGGUGAUCGGCCACACUGGAACUGAGACACGGUCCAGACUCCUACGGGAGGCAGCAGUAGGGAAUCUUCCGCAAUGGGCGAAAGCCUGACGGAGCAACGCCGCGUGAGUGAUGAAGGUCUUCGGAUCGUAAAACUCUGUUAUAAGGGAAGAACAAAUGUGUAAGUAACUGUGCACAUCUUGACGGUACCUGAUCAGAAAGCCACGGCUAACUACGUG
RNAcentral lists this ribosomal RNA (497 nucleotides) under uncultured bacterium. RNAcentral describes it as "partial 16S ribosomal RNA". It matches the Rfam family "Bacterial small subunit ribosomal RNA", at positions 28 to 507 of the family's 1533-position model. The record is from RNAcentral.